Drosophila bipectinata is the source of this 4496-nucleotide RNA transcript. It is a transcript of the gene named Lipophorin receptor 2, with no coding region annotated. The record is from RefSeq and is a predicted model, not a curated record. NCBI's taxonomy places the organism in Eukaryota, Metazoa, Arthropoda, Insecta, Diptera, Drosophilidae.
GUCGCCCAUUUGCACGCUAUACCGCGGACGAUAUUCUACCGUUAACCGCUCUUCUUCGCUCGCGAAUAAGUUUCGGAAAGCAAAAGUUCAAAGCAAAUACUAAAUUCAAGCCCAAGUUUCAAAGCCAGCUCAUCGCAUCAGCCGCCUAUACCGAUCAUUUUCAGGCCAAAAGUGUUAAUUGAAAGAAAUUGUCCAGAGUUAGUGUUAAAAUGGCAACAGCGUGCCUGCCCGUGUUUACGGAACGCUUUCAAGCCUCGGAGGAGCAUAUAGAAUCCGAUGAGGAGUGCGAUACUAUAGAACCGCCGCCAAAAACAAAUGGGUUUUUCUUCAGCUCUAGUACAAAUUAUCAGAGCAAAGUGCAGCAGCUAAUCAGCUUUAGCUUCACCUCCUCGUUCCACCUGCUCUUCAUUACCUGCAUCCUGAGCAUCAGCAAGUUCUGCAAUGCAGCGGCGGUGAACGCCGCCCAGGUGACCGCCGCCACGCCCAGUGCCAGCGAAAUUAUGCAGAACCUAAGCGGAUCUGCACUGCUGGAAAGGCUGAAAGCCACCACUCUGGGCCCUCCGCUGGAUAGACUCAAGCACCUGGCCCCGGCGGCUGCAAACAGUUUAAAUCCCGGAUUUGGAAUCGGAUCAGGAGUGGGCAUCGGAAUGGGAAACUUUGGAAACUCGCUAAAUUCUGUAUUAAAUGGAAAUCCCUUCAAGUUCUUGAAUGUAUCGGGAAAAGUAGGAACAUCACUGGAUAUAUCUCACAGCCUGUCGACGGAGUGCGAUGAAAAGCAGUUUCAGUGCUCUCCUGGCGUGUGUAUUCCCAUACGGUUUCUGUGCGACGGCGACUCCGAUUGCCCGGAUCAUAGUGACGAGCGGCUGGAGGAGUGCAAGUUCAAAGAAUCGACUUGCCGUUCGGACCAAUUCCGAUGUGGAACCGGCAUGUGCAUUCCCCAGAGAUUUGUCUGCGAUCGGGAGAACGACUGCCCCGAUGGAAGCGAUGAACUUCUGUCCCGUUGUGGCAGAAGUACCUGUACGCCCGAGCAGUUCGCCUGCAAGUCGGGCGAGUGCAUCCCGCUGGCCUGGAUGUGCGAUCAGCACAGUGACUGCCGGGACGGAAGCGACGAGGCCCAGUGCAAUAAGACUUGUCGCUCGGACGAGUUCACCUGCGGAAACGGCCGGUGCAUCCAGAAUCGCUUCAAGUGCGAUGGGGACAACGACUGCGGCGAUGGAACCGACGAGAAGGACUGCCACGACGCACAAAAGUGCCAGCCAGGAGCCUUUGCCUGCCCAAGUGGUCAGUGCCUCAUUGCCGAGUGGAUCUGCGAUGGUGAUGAAGACUGCCUUGAUGGCGCCGAUGAGAAGAACUGCACCACCACCAAAAUGUAUAGCGGUAUUGGAUUCUGUCAGCAGAAUGAGUUUCAAUGCAAUGAUCGCACAACUUGCCUGCAUAGGAGCUGGGUAUGUGACGGCGAAAGGGACUGUACCGGAGGCGAGGACGAGUCAGAGGAGAAUUGCCCGAAGGUUAGUUGCCGGCCAGAUCAGUUCCAGUGCCAGGAUCGCAGCUGCAUCGCCGGACACCUGACCUGCAACGGGGAGGGUGACUGUUCGGAUGGCAGUGACGAGCUAAACUGCACCUCGGCUGCUCCUAUAAAGCCCUGCAAUGCCACCAGCGAGUUCGACUGCGGCGGCGGCCAGUGCAUCCCCCUUGCCAAGGUCUGUGACAGGCGGAAGGACUGCCCCAAUGGCGAAGACGAGCCCGCCGGAAAGUGUGCAGUUAAUGAAUGCGCCACCUCGAACGGCGGUUGCAUGCACACCUGUGUCAACCAGGCCGUGGGUUACCGCUGCGAGUGCCGUCCGGGCUACAAGCUAGCCCCCGACAACCGCAGCUGUGUGGACAUCGAUGAGUGCGAGACCCCCGGCGUCUGCUCCCAGGAGUGCAUCAACCAGAUUGGAUCAUUCAAGUGCGAAUGCCAGGAGGGCUACAUGAGGGUCAUGCACAAUCACACCCGCUGCAAGGCCAGCGAGGGGCAUGCCUCCCUGCUUUUAACCCGCCGCCACGAUAUCCGGAAAAUUGCCCUCGACCGGCCGGAAAUGACUUCGAUUGUAAAUAGCACCAAGUCAUCCACCGCCCUGGACUUUGUCUUCCGCACGGGCAUGAUCUUCUGGAGCGACGUGACCACCCAGAGUAUCUACAAGUCCCCCAUCGACGAGGGCAACGAGAAGACGGUAGUGCUGAAGCGAAGCUCUGUGACCUCCGACGGACUGGCCGUGGACUGGAUCUAUAACCACGUCUACUACACGGACACCCACAAAUGUGCCAUUGAGCUGACCAACUUCGAGGGCAGCAUGGGCAAAGUGCUUAUCGAAGAUGCCGUAGACAUUCCCCGCUCCAUCGCCCUGGACCCCAUCGAUGGCUGGAUGUACUGGUCCGACUGGGGCGCAUCCCCUCGCAUCGAGCGGGCGGGUAUGGACGGCUCCCACCGCACCGCCAUCAUCACCUACGACGUCAAGUGGCCGAAUGGCAUCACCCUGGAUCUGGUGCUAAAGCGGAUCUACUGGGUGGACGGCAAGCUGAACAUCAUAUCGUCGGCCAACUUCGACGGCACCCAGCGCCGUCAGGUGCUGUACUCCAGCGAAUACCUGCGGCAUCCCUUCUCCAUCACCACGUUCGAGGACCACGUCUACUGGACGGACUGGGACAAGCAGGCCGUCUUCAAGGCCAACAAGUUCACUGGAGAGGACGUGGAAGCGGUUACAGCGACUCACAUGCUCGAACAUCCUAUGGUGGUGCAUGUGUACCAUCCGUACCGUCAACCCGAUGGCGUGAACCACUGCCAGUCGGUCAACGGCCACUGCUCCCACCUCUGUCUGCCAGCCCCCAGGAUUAACGAGCGGAGUCCUCGCAUAUCCUGCGCCUGCCCCACGGGCCUGAAACUGAUGUCCGACGGCCUCAUGUGUGUCGAAGAUCUGUAUGUGCCAAAUGAGCACGGCAGAAGGCCGAUCCACAAGACGACAAGCAAGUCGCCAGUCUCAACCACAGAACUACCUCAAGUAACGCACAGCGAAGUGCCGGUUGGAAACACGACGGAAAUCAAUACGCCCCAUGGAAAGCCCGAGGGCCCGCAAGAACCACCGAAAGGCUAUAUCCUCAUUAUUACGCUUUGCAGUCUAGCAGGCACAUCUUUAACCAUUUUAUUAGCUAUAUUUGUGUAUAGACGUUGCACGCGGACAGUGAACUCCAUGAACUUUGAGAAUCCUGUGUACCACAAGACCACGGAGGAUCACUUUAGUCUGGAGAAGAACGUGACGCCGCACAUGUACGCCACUGCCAUGGAGGAGGAGGUAAGCGGGUCCGUCCCACCGAUGGCGACCAAUACGAAUGACUUUAGCUACGUGAGGUUCUAAGGGCAGAUCUAGGUGCUAAGUUAGUGUUGUAAAUAGUGUGCUAAGUGUGCGUAUCAUAGUUGUAUUUAGGGUUAAGAAACGCGAUCCAAGUAGUUGAUAAUCGGGUAGGACGUAAGAUCAAAGUUAAAGGAGUCCUGGAAAUUGUUGUGAAUUUUUUAGUCUAUUGUUAGAGAGUUCCCGUACUUUUAUCCACCUGUCUAUUGAAAGUUAACCGUAUUCCAAUUUGCAAAUAUUUUAUUUAAAAUGCUGCGAGGCAUGAAGUUUCAGGCCUCGAAACCGCAGUCGCAAUUAUCUAUUAACAACGUCUGCUAACCCCCUGUGUGAACCGGGCACCGAAUGUGUCUGAGCCUCCGCCAAAGACUCACUAGUAUGCAUAUCCAACAUACACUGGCCGCACAGACCGAGAACAACCAAAACAAGUAUCUCCUACUAUAAAUUCCUUUAGACCAAGGCACCCGAAACUCAACUAAAUAAAAUGAAAGUUCAAAAAGUGAAAUGAAAAAGAAAGAAAAAAAGGGGAAAUAAGAAACUUUCAUUAGCAGUAAGAAAGAAGAAUGCCAAAAACAAAAUAGAAAAGACAACAUGCUUGGGGAGAAGAGAAUACUCAACAAAUUCAAUUUGUUGCCUAGUUUAAAAUUUAAUUUAAAUGUUAAAAUACUAAACCCAGAAACACACACACACACAAGCUCGCCAUACACAGUCACUAACACACACCCGUAAACUAAUAACAACAAACUUUUUUUAGGCGCAACAUUUCGACAUCAACUAACGGCGUCGAAUACGCACCCACGCCCACUCCUUCACCCGCCCACACACAUACACACACGCAUAAACUAAAAAGCCCUCAAGAACUCAAAAAAGGAACGAGCCAGGAAGCCAUUCAGAGCUAGAACUCCAACUUUCCUUUCACGUCCAUGAAAUCAAUUGUAAAAAGUUAAGACAUUUUGUUGAAGUUUUCUGAAAAAAAUAGACAUUUGUGAAAUCAAAAAGAUAAUGGCUAAACGGAAACUGUUUAUAGACAUAGAAACCAUUGUGACUAGUUGUAGAGUUUAUAUUUUGCUUUCCAAGAAACCAGAGUAAAUAAAUCAGAGUUAUUAGCACCGA